GUCUGGUGCUGGCGGCGAUUAUCGUGUUGUCGCUGCUGCCGGCGGUGGUGGAGAUUGUGCGUGCGAAACGUGCCGGCAAACGC
This 83-nucleotide transfer RNA is filed under the name Kingella potus. RNAcentral describes it as "tRNA-Ser(gct)". The record is from RNAcentral. Lineage: Bacteria; Pseudomonadati; Pseudomonadota; Betaproteobacteria; Neisseriales; Neisseriaceae.